This 76-nucleotide transfer RNA is filed under the name Mycoplasmopsis meleagridis. RNAcentral's name for it is "tRNA-Thr". It matches the Rfam family "tRNA". Rfam says of the family: Transfer RNA (tRNA) molecules are approximately 80 nucleotides in length. Their secondary structure includes four short double-helical elements and three loops (D, anti-codon, and T loops). Further hydrogen bonds mediate the characteristic L-shaped molecular structure. tRNAs have two regions of fundamental functional importance: the anti-codon, which is responsible for specific mRNA codon recognition, and the 3' end, to which the tRNAs corresponding amino acid is attached (by aminoacyl-tRNA synthetases). tRNAs cope with the degeneracy of the genetic code in two manners: having more than one tRNA (with a specific anti-codon) for a particular amino acid; and 'wobble' base-pairing, i.e. permitting non-standard base-pairing at the 3rd anti-codon position. The record is from RNAcentral. Lineage: Bacteria; Bacillati; Mycoplasmatota; Mycoplasmoidales; Metamycoplasmataceae. RNAcentral also lists the same sequence under 6 other names.
GCCGUCAUAGCUCAGCAGGUAGAGCACAUCCAUGGUAAGGAUGGGGUCGCAGGUUCAAGUCCUGUUGUCGGCACCA